Molecule: ribosomal RNA, 253 nt
Filed under: uncultured bacterium
Lineage: Bacteria
Description: partial 16S ribosomal RNA
Rfam family: Bacterial small subunit ribosomal RNA
Source: RNAcentral
UACGUAGGGGGCAAGCGUUAUCCGGAAUCACUGGGUGUAAAGGGUGCGUAGGCGGUACGAUAAGUCAGAUGUGAAAACCAAGGGCUCAACCUUUGGACUGCAUUUGAAACUAUCGAACUAGAGUAUGGGAGAGGAAAGUGGAAUUCCUAGUGUAGCGGUGAAAUGCGUAGAUAUUAGGAGGAACACCAGUAGCGAAGGCGACUUUCUGGAACAUAACUGACGCUGAGGCACGAAAGCGUGGGGAGCGAACAGG